AUGAGUUUGCCACACAGGAGUACAGUGCUCCCUGCACCACAGUCAAGGCUGAACAGGGAAAUUCCUGAAGAAUGCAUCUUGUCUGAGUCUUGCUGUAUCAGCUCAUACAUCUCUGCCCCUAGAAGAUCUUCUUGUUGAGGGUGGGGUAUUGAAACAUUAGAGGAGGACACCUCAAAAACACAAAGGAAGUAACACUGUAAAUAAAUUAAGUCUUGAUUCUCAUCA
This is a long non-coding RNA of Corapipo altera (White-ruffed manakin), 225 nucleotides long. RefSeq lists it as uncharacterized. NCBI's taxonomy places the organism in Eukaryota, Metazoa, Chordata, Aves, Passeriformes, Pipridae. The record is from RefSeq and is a predicted model, not a curated record. The transcript has 2 exons.